AAUAACGUUAUGUUUUGGUUGAACAGACAUUGUUCUUCGAUUACUAAUAUUCAACCUUACUGUGUUACCUUUUCAAUGUUUAACUUACACGCUGAUAUAUAUAUUUCAUCGUACGUGACGUUAAAUAAGAAGUGAAAUGACACGGAUUCUGAACGAAGGUGUAACCAUUCAAUAUCAAGAUUUUUUUAAAACAUCAAAAAUAAUUAAACGUGAUAAUAUGUUUUAUGUUUUUUUGUAUUAUAACAUGCAUGUUCUUCGCAUGCAAUUAUCCAAACGUAUCCUGGUGUGCUUUUUGAAACGUCACAUUGUUGUAUAAAAAGGCUCAUAAGUGCGCCGCAUUUCUAAAAUAGUUAUGCCCUAAAUACCGUAUAACGUACGGCAUAUAAAUAGAACAUAACAUGUAGCUGCCCUAUCGUUUGUUAUAUAUCAGAUGCGGCUCCGAAUAGACACGGCUUUUAUGGUCGAACAUGUUAGAUGGCUUAACGAUAGGACAGAAACCUGUUUUCUGUUAAUCAUAAAUAAAAUCACCAAAUUAAAGAAAACCAAUCAAUAAUUAAAUAAAAAUCGUUACUUAUCUUCAUUUUCAACGGGUAAAAUGAAUAUGUUACAUGAUGCGUAAUAUGGCACCAUACGUUCGUGUCUUUAUUUGUUGAUGUAAUUAAUAUUUUGCUCUUUCAAAGUCACCACAAAACACUAAUAUAUUAACGUGUAAAUGUUGAUGAAUAAUACAUAAAAUGAAAGUGACAUGUUUUAUGUUAUAUAAAUGUAUAAUACCCACGCUGAUAUUGGCGUGACACCAAUGUGUCUGAUCUUACAACCUUUCGCUGAUGACAUUAACCUCGUGAGUGGCGCCAGCAGUGAACCCAAAGACUUCACCAACAGACGCUAUGAAAUAGCAAACUAUACGGGAUGGAGGUAAAACAGAAGAUAAUGGAAAACUACAGAUUUACUUUUGUACAUAGUCCUUUAAAUGUCUGAAAGAAAUUCUAAUCCAUAACACAACUCACCAUUACGUAGAAAAAUUAAAAGUUAGAGAACUAACCUUAGAUGAAACAACCGGCAAAUAAGGUUAUCGGACAAAAAAUAUAUGCUGAUAUUACUCCACAAAACAUAGAUGAACAACAUCAGAAACUCACCAAUCUGAACGCUUCGGACAGUGGGCUACACCAAACCGUCUCUCUGAUGUCAAUCUCUUGCACGAAGGUUACAUUACAUUCACCUCUGUGUUGGGCUCAGAACGGACUAUUGUUAUGAAAGCGUCUCAGUAUACUAAACAAUCUCUUGCACGACGGUUACAUUGCAUUCACUGCAUUAAAGAAAACCAUCUCAUACCAUGAUAUCUUAUAUCAGUCUUAAUUCAUUAUUAUAAAAUUGAUAUGGUUUCUUGAUGUUAAGAAACCAACAUACAUACACACGUCGAAGCAAUUCCGAACGUCACUCAAUAAACAUUAUGUUCAAUUGUUGACAUUUGUAAAGUGCGUGAAAUGAUUCCAUCUGCGUAAAUGGGCAAUAAAAUAGUUCCAAAGAGUUGCAUUAAAACUCGCAAGUUUUUGCACGAUUUAUCGUACAUUUAAAGGUCAUAUUUCUUAAUUUAAUGCAUGCGAUCUUAAAUAUCCAAUCAAAUAUACUUUGAAUGCGUUUGUUCGGUUUUAGCUAUUUUAUAGACAAAAUGGCGUGCUGAGCCUUUCGCAGAGUUGUAUGUGAGAGCAAGGAACGACAACUCUUCGUGGAGAUUGCUCUGAUGUACGAAGGCGGCCGUCAUAUUGGAUUUGGAACUACUUUUGAAAACAAGAUGGCGGCUCCCUCGGUUCAAACCCGACGUAAAGAAGAAAAAUAAAAAUGUGUUUUGUGUAGCUCGUCUGUUUCAAGAUUACAUUCUAAAAAUAAUAAUGAGUGUAGAUCUGUGAAUUCCCACAACAUAAUUACAAAAUUGUUAAAAUUUAAAGAUGCCAGUAUUGAUAUUGAAUUAAUUUUAAAUC
This is a long non-coding RNA of Dreissena polymorpha, 1979 nucleotides long. RefSeq lists it as uncharacterized. The transcript is spliced from 2 exons. The record is from RefSeq and is a predicted model, not a curated record. Lineage: Eukaryota; Metazoa; Mollusca; Bivalvia; Myida; Dreissenidae.